UCUUUUUGGAAGCACUUUUGGGCCCACCUCCCAUCCGUGUCUAUUAUACCCUGUUGCUUCGGCGGGCCCGCCGCUUGUCGGCCGCCGGGGGGGCGCCUUUGCCCCCCGGGCCCGUGCCCGCCGGAGACCCCAACACGAACACUGUCUGAAAGCGUGCAGUCUGAGUUGAUUGAAUGCAAUCAGUUAAAACUUUCAACAAUGGAUCUCUUGGUUCCGGCAUCGAUGAAGAACGCAGCGAAAUGCGAUAACUAAUGUGAAUUGCAGAAUUCAGUGAAUCAUCGAGUCUUUGAACGCACAUUGCGCCCCCUGGUAUUCCGGGGGGCAUGCCUGUCCGAGCGUCAUUGCUGCCCUCAAGCCCGGCUUGUGUGUUGGGUCGCCGUCCCCCUCUCCGGGGGGACGGGCCCGAAAGGCAGCGGCGGCACCGCGUCCGAUCCUCGAGCGUAUGGGGCUUUGUCACAUGCUCUGUAGGAUUGGCCGGCGCCUGCCGACGUUUUCCAACCAUUUUUUCCAGGUUGACCUCGGAUCAGGUAGGGAUACCCGCUGAACUUAAGCAUAUCAAUAGCCGGGAGGAAAAUAACGAUUGCG
Molecule: ribosomal RNA, 585 nt
Filed under: Aspergillus niger
Lineage: Eukaryota; Fungi; Ascomycota; Eurotiomycetes; Eurotiales; Aspergillaceae
Description: eukaryotic LSU rRNA
Rfam family: 5.8S ribosomal RNA (bases 188-341)
Source: RNAcentral